RNAcentral lists this ribosomal RNA (473 nucleotides) under uncultured organism. RNAcentral describes it as "partial 16S ribosomal RNA". It matches the Rfam family "Bacterial small subunit ribosomal RNA", at positions 334 to 798 of the family's 1533-position model. The record is from RNAcentral.
CACUCCUGCGGGAGGCAGCAGUGGGGAAUUUUGGACAAUGGGCGAAAGCCUGAUCCAGCAAUGCCGCGUGAGUGAAGAAGGCCUUCGGGUUGUAAAGCUCUUUUGUCAGGGAAGAAACGGUGAAAGCUAAUAUCUUUUGCUAAUGACGGUACCUGAAGAAUAAGCACCGGCUAACUACGUGCCAGCAGCCGCGGUAAUACGUAGGGUGCAAGCGUUAAUCGGAAUUACUGGGCGUAAAGCGUGCGCAGGCGGUUUUGUAAGUCUGAUGUGAAAUCCCCGGGCUCAACCUGGGAAUUGCAUUGGAGACUGCAAGGCUAGAAUCUGGCAGAGGGGGGUAGAAUUCCACGUGUAGCAGUGAAAUGCGUAGAUAUGUGGAGGAACACCGAUGGCGAAGGCAGCCCCCUGGGUCAAGAUUGACGCUCAUGCACGAAAGCGUGGGGAGCAAACAGGAUUAGAAACCCCUGUAGUCCCAU